This 363-nucleotide unclassified non-coding RNA is filed under the name uncultured bacterium. RNAcentral's name for it is "contains 16S-23S intergenic spacer region". The record is from RNAcentral.
UCCCCGUUACCGGGGCAGUCUAGCUAGAAAAAUCCAACUAGCUAUAAGGGUUGCGCUCGUUGAUGGACUUAACCAAACAUCUCACGACACGAGCUGACGACGGCCAUGCAAGAUCUGUCACCGAGUUCAAUAAAGCACUCUCGUCUUUCGACAAAAUUCUCGGGAUGUCAAGCCCUGGUAAGGUUCUUCGCGUUGCUUCGAAUUAAAGAACACGCUCCACCACUUGUGCGGCUCCCCGUCAAUUCCUUUAUGUUUUAGUCUUGCGACCGUACUCCACAGGCGGGAUACUUAACGCGUUAGCUUCGCUACGGAGGGGGUCGAUACCCCCCACAGCUAGUAUCCAUCGUUUACGGCGUGGACUAC